GUGGUACUCCCUCCGUUCGAAAUUACUUGUCGCAAAAAUGGAUGUAUCUAGAUGUAUUUUAGUUCUAGAUACAUCCAUAUCCGAGACAAGUAAUUCCGAACAAAGGGAGUAAUAA
This is a non-coding RNA of Triticum urartu, 115 nucleotides long. The record is from Rfam. Lineage: Eukaryota; Viridiplantae; Streptophyta; Magnoliopsida; Poales; Poaceae.